CCUUGUACACACCGCCCGUCACACCAUGGGAGUUGGUCCUACCCGAAGGUAGUGCGCUAACCGCAAGGAGGCAGCUAACCACGGUAGGGUCAGCGACUGGGGUG
Molecule: ribosomal RNA, 104 nt
Filed under: uncultured bacterium
Lineage: Bacteria
Description: partial 16S ribosomal RNA
Rfam family: Bacterial small subunit ribosomal RNA
Source: RNAcentral